Molecule: non-coding RNA, 24 nt
Filed under: Drosophila melanogaster (fruit fly)
Lineage: Eukaryota; Metazoa; Arthropoda; Insecta; Diptera; Drosophilidae
Also listed under: 4 other names
Source: RNAcentral
GACCUCGGAUCAGGUAGGGAUACC